CGAACGGGCGAGUAAUGCGUGACCAACCUGCCCCAUGCUCCAGAAUAGCUCUUGGAAACGGGUGGUAAUGCUGGAUGCUCCAACUUGACGCAUGUCUUGUUGGGAAAGUGUUUAGUGGCAUGGGAUGGGGUCGCGUCCUAUCAGCUUGUAGGCGGGGUAAUGGCCCACCUAGGCUUCGACGGGUAGCCGGCCUGAGAGGGCGGACGGCCACAUUGGGACUGAGAUACGGCCCAGACUCCUACGGGAGGCAGCGUU
RNAcentral lists this ribosomal RNA (255 nucleotides) under uncultured Gardnerella sp. RNAcentral describes it as "partial 16S ribosomal RNA". It matches the Rfam family "Bacterial small subunit ribosomal RNA", at positions 99 to 353 of the family's 1533-position model. The record is from RNAcentral. Lineage: Bacteria; Bacillati; Actinomycetota; Actinomycetes; Bifidobacteriales; Bifidobacteriaceae.